Small nuclear RNA from Fukomys damarensis (Damara mole-rat), 94 nucleotides. The record is from Ensembl. Lineage: Eukaryota; Metazoa; Chordata; Mammalia; Rodentia; Bathyergidae.
GUACUGCUUUGACAGCACAUACACUAAACUUGGAAUGAUAAAGUGGCCCCUGCACAAGGUAGACAUGCAAAUUUCUGAAGUGUUCUAUAUUUUU